GAAGCCAGGAGUGAAUUUUGACAGUGUUCAAGCUCUGCCUGAAGGGAGUUUCAUAUCUUGAAACUUGGCUAGAUAUUAGUCAAGGUUGAAAGGUCUUGUCUUGCUCAACCCUUUGAACUCUGUGGACUGAGGUCAAAAAAAUUACUCUUUUCCUUUUUCCCCAAAACUGUCUCAAAACACUGAAGAAUCAAAGAUCACCACCAUUGCUCAUCGAGUAAAUAGUUCUGAGCAACAAAGUGCUAGGAGACUCUCCCAGCCCUAUCUCGAGAUGGCUGGGGAUUGAUUCUGGAGCUUUCUACCCUCAGAGAAGUGUUCCAUCCCCACACUAUGAUUUUUUGCCAGGGAAACUGAUUAUUUACACUCCAGCUUUGAAUGUGCAAAGUUGUGGGGCCAAGGACUACCCUCAGUCUUUGAGUGCUGUUCCACGGCUGCAAGACCAGGACAAAAAGAAUGACCCCAGGAUCAAAUCUGAAACUGAUAUUAGUAUAAUUAAAAAGGACAUUUCUUCUUCAUGUAGAUCAGGUUUCAGUCAUCAUCCUAAGGUCCUUUAUAUCUUGCAGCAAGUGCAGGAGUACAGCAAGUCAACAGGCUUAAGAAACCAAGGUUGAUGAGCUUGCUACAGUGAUGGAACUUCCAGAGGACAAAGAGCUACCCAAUGUCAGAUACUGAAGAAGAAUUACUUCCAGCCAUCAAGUGGCAGAGGAGGAGGGAGAUGGGUAUUUCCUAGAAAUAUGGUGGCACGUGGAGGCUCUUUGCUUCCUGGUUCAGCAAAGUGCCAGUUCUGUUUGAUAUUCCCGUACCUAAACUGUCCAGCACAAUAAACUCUCCUGUUCAUUAAAGCCA
Python bivittatus (Burmese python) is the source of this 843-nucleotide non-coding RNA. The record is from RefSeq and is a predicted model, not a curated record. Lineage: Eukaryota; Metazoa; Chordata; Lepidosauria; Squamata; Pythonidae.